This 217-nucleotide small nucleolar RNA is filed under the name Zalophus californianus (California sea lion). Its description in RNAcentral is "Small nucleolar RNA U3 (ENSZCAG00015024828.1)". It matches the Rfam family "Small nucleolar RNA U3". From Rfam's summary of the family: Small nucleolar RNAs (snoRNAs) are involved in the processing and modification of rRNA in the nucleolus. The record is from RNAcentral. Lineage: Eukaryota; Metazoa; Chordata; Mammalia; Carnivora; Otariidae.
AAGACCAUACUUUCAAGGAUCAUUUCUACAGUUUGUUACUAGACAAGCUUCUCUGAAUGUGUAGAGAGCACAGGAAACUACCAGGAGGAGGCACAGCAUUCUCUCCUGAGCGUGAAGCUGGUUCUUGAUGUUGCUUCUGUGAACGCCAUUCACCAUUGAUACUGGUUGGUUCUUCUCUUCCUUUGAGAGAGCAAGAGGGAGAGGUGCAGUCUGAGCA